CACCAAGGUGCCUGACAUGGGAAUGAGGGCAUCUUAGACCUGCCUAUCAGUCUGGCUGAAGGUCACCAAGUAAAUGCUGUGCAAAACAGACAAAUGGUCCAUCCCAGCUCUGCUCAGACUCCUACAUGACAUAACUACAAAGAAACAGUACAAGAAGGAAUAUCAGAACAUCAAGAAGGAAGAAAGAACACAGUAAACAAAAAUACGGAUAAUAAAUGUAGAAGCAAUGAGGGGAAUACAGAGUUACCAUCAGAACACCAAAGUAAUAGUUGCUACAGUGGUGAAAAGGACAACAGAGAAAGAAAACUGAGAACAACUUCACCUAUGCCUUAA
Gorilla gorilla gorilla (western lowland gorilla) is the source of this 333-nucleotide long non-coding RNA. RefSeq lists it as uncharacterized. NCBI's taxonomy places the organism in Eukaryota, Metazoa, Chordata, Mammalia, Primates, Hominidae. The record is from RefSeq and is a predicted model, not a curated record. The transcript has 3 exons.